RNAcentral lists this ribosomal RNA (440 nucleotides) under uncultured bacterium. Its description in RNAcentral is "partial 16S ribosomal RNA". It matches the Rfam family "Bacterial small subunit ribosomal RNA", at positions 338 to 795 of the family's 1533-position model. The record is from RNAcentral.
CCUACGGGUGGCAGCAGUGGGGAAUAUUGCACAAUGGGGGAAACCCUGAUGCAGCGACGCAGCGUGAGGGAAGAAGGAUUUCGGGAUGGAAAGCUCUAUCAGCAGGGAAGAAAAUGACGGUACCUGACUAAGAAGCCCCGUCUAACGACGGGACAGCAGCCGCGGUAAUACGUAGGGGGCAAGCGUUAACCGGAUUUACUGGGUGUAAAGGGAGCGUAGAGGGAAUAGCAAGUCUGAAGUGAAAGUCCGCGGCCCAACUGUAGGAUUGCUUUGGAUACUGCCAGUCUAGAGUGCUGGUGAGGUAAGCGGAAUUCCUGGUGUAGCGGUGAAAUGCGUAGAUAUCAGGAGGAACCCCAGUGGCGAAGGCAGCUUACUGGACUGUAACUGACGUUGAGGCUCGAAAGCGUGGGGAGCAAACAGGAUUAGAUACCCGGGUAGUC